UAUGUUGCUAUGUGGAUUGCCCUGGUGUGGAGCCCAAGGGGUUGUCCCACGAUUCGUUGGAGCCCGGCCGCGCCCAUCGUUCCGGAGCCCAGCACCGCCUACCAGUUAAUUUAUUCACUGCACUUGCCCUGACGUCAAUCCUUCCAAGCGCCGUAAUUUCGCGCAGGCGCAGUGUACACAGUAGUCUGCGCCCGUGAGGACUACUGGCACAGGCUUCGUCGAUC
Long non-coding RNA from Bufo bufo (common toad), 224 nucleotides. RefSeq lists it as uncharacterized. The record is from RefSeq and is a predicted model, not a curated record. The transcript has 4 exons. Lineage: Eukaryota; Metazoa; Chordata; Amphibia; Anura; Bufonidae.